Molecule: long non-coding RNA, 889 nt
Filed under: Chrysemys picta bellii (western painted turtle)
Lineage: Eukaryota; Metazoa; Chordata; Testudines; Emydidae
Description: lncRNA (ENSCPBG00000027463.1)
Source: RNAcentral
UGGCUGUUCUUUGGGGCCAUGUGGCGAUCUCCUUAGGGGAUUGUCGCUGGUGUUGGGAGAUGGGUUGGGGGUGUGCAUGAUUGGAGAUGGGGCUGGUCGUUGGGGGGUGGGGAGGUGUUGCUGUUGGGACCCUUGUAAAGGGAACAGUGCUGGAGUCUCAGCAGAGGAUUUAUUUAUGUUCACUAAUAAUAAUCCUGGUGGAUGCUCCAUCCCUGACCCUUUUAAAAUCGAGAUCUAAAAGCUCUGCUGUGGGAAUGAUUUUGGGGAAGUUCCUGGCCUGUGUUGCCCAGGAGGUCAGACUCACUGGGUGAUCACAAUGGUCCCUUCUGGCCUUGGAAUCUAUGAAUAAGAAUGUAACUGCUCCAAAAAGAGCUCCAAGUGGUGCAUGAGUAACAUGUCAAAGAGGGACAUACCUGCCUUGGGGGAUUAUCGUGAGAAUUUUCAUACAUCCACAGCUGUGGGUUUAGAAAGCCCAUGAGCGCACAGUAGGCUAGCAUGAAAAGAGACAAGUGCCAUGGCGAUGGGGAGACAGACUGCAGGGCAGAGCUGGUCUUUGUCAACGGAGGCUGCAGUGACCCUGCUGAAGAUGAAGCUUCUCCCCCAGCUCUGGAAGCAAAUGGGAGGCCCAAUACACAAGAUGCUGUGGACCUACGAAUAGUGUCCACUAGGAGCAAGAAGAUCGGCAAGGAAGACGUCUCCAAGGAAGACCUAUCUUGGCCCAUGAAGCUCAGCAAGGCUCCGGAGAGCGCCUGGGGGAUUUGAGUGUGGUAUAGGAGAGGCAAGCCUUACAUUCCUUUACAAGGGUGCAUGGUCUUGUGAUCCAAGCGUGAGAUCGGAGCUCUAAUCCCAGCUCCGCCAUGGAUGGUGAGACCUUGAGCAAGUCCCUUCC